AACGGACCUUAACGAUCCCCGAGUCCCAGCCCAGCGGAGCCACCUGUUCGGUUUCUCCUGGUAGAGGCGACCAGGGGGCACGUUGGCUCACAGCCGCAAUUCCCAUCCGCCAGGAGCAUCCCUUAUGCAACACUGGGAAAUGCAAAUUUGUCACUGCCCCAGUCCCUUCCAGCCUUACUGAGGGCUCAUCCACAGGCUCCCAGAGCUUCUGUUUGACUACAGGAGCUGAAGUUCCACUGGCUGUAAAAGAAGUGGACCCAAACAGAAAGCAUCCUAUCCCGCAUCCAGGGAGGAGUCUACAGUGUGUCAUCAGUACAGUAGGACCAGGUGGAGCUGUGAUAACCUUGGAGAAGUGAGGUCAGAUCUUUGAAAACUACCAGAGGAUGAGCAAAUCCCCAGAAAGUAGGAAAAGUAUUUGGGCUCCUGAUUUACUAUUGUUUUCUAAUGUUUGUGAAACCAGUGGGAGGUUCUGGCUUUAUACAUAUUGAGGAAUCUGUGCCACCAUCCUGACCUUCACAAAGGCAAAGAAGGAAGGCUCACAGGAUUUUAGGUCAGUCAGACCCUUUUCUUAAAUGAAAAAAAAGAAAGAACAGAAAAAAUACUUGAAGUGUGUACUUUCAAGUAUGAGCAAGUGUUAAGAAGCAGCUAAUAUAAAAAAUGUGAGAUUGAAUCAACAUCCUUUCCUUUUUUAUGACAGUCCAGAAAUCCUGGGCAAUAGUGUGCAUUUGCACUCAAUAUGACCUUUGAUCCUGUUCUUUGUGAUUUUCCCAUAACUGUCUAAGGAAAUACAGCCCAGUUAUGACACCUCCACAGUCCCAAUAAUUGGGAAUUUUCUCUUGUAGAGUGGUUACUAAUGGUUAGUGCAUGAGUUUGGUAAUAUCCUGUAUCUUUAUCAAUGGCCCAAUAAUGGAAUAACAAGGGUACACAGUAAAUUUAUCAGGCUGGAAGGGUCAGAAAGCCCACUGGGUAUUGGGAUUCCAUUAUGAGAUUAUUGUGGCAAGGUGAAUAAAUUACCUGAAACAAAUGAAAUAUCUGGCAAGAGAAAAAUAUCCAAGAGCAAUAAUCAUCUGUAUAAAUACAAACACAGGAACAGUUGGUUAAUCAGGAGUUCUGGGGUAAUCCUAGAUCAUAAAUUGACCAAGAAAUCAGUAACAAAAAGGUUAAAAAAAAUCCAGUGUACAAUGAAGGCACAGGAGCAUUGUACGUAAGACCUGUGCUGUAAUCCUUUUACUGUGCUGUGAGUCAGACCUCACUGGGAACACUUUAUUAGUCUGAUACAAUCAUUUCAAGAAUUAUCAACAGCAAACAGGCCAAAGGAAAGCAAGGGUAAUCUGAAUUUUGGAACCUGUGAUAUGUGAUUUGAAGAAUUAGGAUUCUUUAUACCGGUUUCUCAUGGGAAACAGGAACAGUCUUGAAAUACAUAAGAAUUGCUGGAAAGAGGACAAGAAUAACUGGUUUCUUUGUCCACUGUCAUUGAAUC
Long non-coding RNA from Pseudopipra pipra, 1480 nucleotides. RefSeq lists it as uncharacterized. Lineage: Eukaryota; Metazoa; Chordata; Aves; Passeriformes; Pipridae. The transcript is spliced from 3 exons. The record is from RefSeq and is a predicted model, not a curated record.